AGUGAACGCUGGCGGUAGGCCUAACACAUGCAAGUCGAACGGCAGCACAGUAAGAGCUUGCUCUUACGGGUGGCGAGUGGCGGACGGGUGAGGAAUACAUCGGAAUCUACUUUUUCGUGGGGGAUAACGUAGGGAAACUUACGCUAAUACCGCAUACGACCUACGGGUGAAAGCAGGGGAUCUUCGGACCUUGCGCGAUUGAAUGAGCCGAUGUCGGAUUAGCUAGUUGGCGGGGUAAAGGCCCACCAAGGCGACGAUCCGUAGCUGGUCUGAGAGGAUGAUCAGCCACACUGGAACUGAGACACGGGCCAGACUCCUACGGGAGGCAGCAGUGGGGAAUAUUGGACAGUGGGCGCAAGCCUGAUCCAGCCAUACCGCGUGGGUGAAGAAGGCCUUCGGGUUGUAAAGCCCUUUUGUUGGGAAAGAAAAGCAGCAGGUUAAUACCCCGCUGUUCUGACGGUACCCAAAGAAUAAGCACCGGCUAACUUCGU
RNAcentral lists this ribosomal RNA (491 nucleotides) under uncultured bacterium. Its description in RNAcentral is "partial 16S ribosomal RNA". It matches the Rfam family "Bacterial small subunit ribosomal RNA", at positions 29 to 506 of the family's 1533-position model. The record is from RNAcentral.